RNAcentral lists this ribosomal RNA (390 nucleotides) under Cupriavidus sp. amp18. RNAcentral's name for it is "bacterial LSU rRNA". It matches the Rfam family "Bacterial large subunit ribosomal RNA", at positions 61 to 491 of the family's 2925-position model. Lineage: Bacteria; Pseudomonadati; Pseudomonadota; Betaproteobacteria; Burkholderiales; Burkholderiaceae. The record is from RNAcentral.
GUAGCCUGCGAAAAGCUUCGGGGAGCUGGCAAACGAGCUUUGAUCCGGAGAUGUCCGAAUGGGGAAACCCGGCCCGUAUGGGUCAUCCCACACUGAAUUCAUAGGUCAGGGAAGCGAACGCGGCGAACUGAAACAUCUAAGUAGCUGCAGGAACAGAAAUCAACCGAGAUUCCCAAAGUAGUGGCGAACGAAAUGGGAAGAGCCUUGCACUCUUUAGCAGGACUGUUAGCAAAACGGGAUGGAAAGCCCGGCCAUAGCAGGUGAUAGCCCUGUAUGCGAAAACAGACUUGUGGAACUAGGUGUGCGACAAGUAGGGCGGGACACGUGAAAUCCUGUCUGAAGAUGGGGGGACCAUCCUCCAAGGCUAAAUACUCGUGAUCGACCGAUAGU